Molecule: long non-coding RNA, 404 nt
Filed under: Brassica rapa (field mustard)
Lineage: Eukaryota; Viridiplantae; Streptophyta; Magnoliopsida; Brassicales; Brassicaceae
Description: long non-coding RNA (BRAP_LNC000709)
Source: RNAcentral
CAACUGCUGGAAUUGACUUCUCUUACUUACUAAUCUACUUGUUUGUCACCAAAAAGUGUAUCUAUCGUUGAAAGUAAAGACAUGCUAUAAAAUGAGUUUUAGUUCAUUCUAGUUAGGAAGUAAGUAUGGCUUAAGUGGGAGGCGUGGAGUUUUGGUGUUAUCAAAUAAUCAGACGUUUAAUUUGUUAAGCUAAAAUGGUACACAAUAUUAAACCCCGCAUCACUCAACUCCUCCAUAAUCACGAGUUUGUCUCUCUUCUUAACGCUACGUGUGCUCUUCUCGCUCUUCUAUGCGCGUGAUAGUAUUGGCCCAACACCUUACAAGAAUGUCACGGGUUAGGUUUCGCCACCACAAAUUCUAUGCAGACAUUUACAAGACAAGAAACAAUAAAAAUAACUCGCACA